RNAcentral lists this long non-coding RNA (367 nucleotides) under Salvia miltiorrhiza (redroot sage). RNAcentral's name for it is "long non-coding RNA (SMIL_LNC011680)". Lineage: Eukaryota; Viridiplantae; Streptophyta; Magnoliopsida; Lamiales; Lamiaceae. The record is from RNAcentral.
CACAAAAUAAUAAAAAUUAAUAGUGGUCCUCCAAACAUAAUUUCAAUAAAUUAUAGUAAAAUUAAGUGUUUUGAACAAAAUUACCCCCUUCAUCUUCUCUCUUGUACACAAAAAACACAUCAUCUCUCACUUUUCCUUACUUACGUACUUUUCUCUCUCAAGCCCUAAUCUUUCCACUGUGCAUGUACCACUCUCAAGCCCUAAUCCUCCCGUUGUGCCGCUAAAACCUUCACUUUGACACAUCGCCAUCGAUAUACUACCAACUACUCCGUUCUCUUUCUUCUUCUUUUUUUCCCUCUCUCUCUUUAACGAGCCCAUCUUCUCCAAUUUUCUUCCUCGCCGCUGUCAACAUCAUUGAAAGAUUGGC